Molecule: long non-coding RNA, 644 nt
Organism: Pecten maximus
Lineage: Eukaryota; Metazoa; Mollusca; Bivalvia; Pectinida; Pectinidae
Exons: 4
Source: RefSeq, a predicted model, not a curated record
GUUAAACAUUUGUUGAUUGGUUGAAUUUAAGGUGCGCGGGUUUCAUUCUCUAUCGUACUCUGAACCGUUAGCGUCACUUGAAAAUUACUCCCGGGUGUAGAGUACUGUUACACAAACAAGUUUUUGAAUCUCGGAAGUUUUUAAAAGCUCACGAUGGCAGCAAGGAAAGCAGCAGCAAAGUCUCCAGCAAAGAAGGCGGCAGCAAAGCCAAAGAAGGGCGUGAAGAAAGGAGGUGUAAAAAAAGCAAAGAAGGCAGCCCCUGCAAAGAAGGCAGCAAAGAAAGGAGCAAAAAAAGCAGCAAAGAAGACCGGAAAAGGAAAGAAGGCAGCGAAGAAGUGAAGCUAGCUCCAUUUCAUCGCAAUGCCUUGUCAUCAUCCAGCCAUUACUGUUCAUUCAUCUGUUGUCUUUCUUGUUGACUGAGGCGGGUGUUUUGUAAUGACAUUUUAGUAAUAUAUGUUUUAUUGACUGUAGAUAAUUUAUGAAAUGUAGAUUUUUAUUCUUUUAAAAAAUAUGGAUCUGGACAUUAGCCUGCAUCGUUUCACGCAUGCUUAAACAUGUAAUGAUUUUUUUAAGCCAUGAACAUUAAUUUGGAAAAAGAAAAAAAAAAUCCACCUCAUAUUUAUCAACGGAAUCCGUUGCAGAAA